AUGGACGAGGGCGGCGCCGGCGACGAGGGCGAGAAGAAGAGCAUGAUCGCCGUGCUCCUCACUCUGCAGAAGACGGAGCCGGAGCUGUACACUGAUCAGAUGAUCAUCGCUCUGUGUGCGGCGAGUAACACGGCCAUGUCACUUAGCUGGAUGAAUCCCACUUCCAACGUGUUUAUUUCUAGUAAUUUAAUUUUGGCCUUUCCCACUCUCAGCGCCGACGACGUGCCCCGCCUCAGCUACCUCCAGUGCAUCAUCAACGAGACGCUACGCCUGUACCCGGCGGCGCCGCCGCUGCUGCCGCACGAGUCCUCCGCCGACUGCAAGGUCGGCGGCUACGACGUGCGGAGCGGCACCAUGCUGAUCGUGAACGCGUACGCCCUCCACAUGGACCCGGCUGUGUGGGAGGACCCGACGGCGUUCCGCCCGGAGCGGUUCGAGGACGGCAAGGGCGACGGGCUGCUGCUGAUGCCGUUCGGGAUGGGGCGGCGGAGGUGCCCCGGCGAGGCGCUGGCGCUGCAGACGGUCGGGGUGGUUCUCGGGACGUUGGUGCAGUGUUUCGACUGGGACCGGGUAGACGGCGUGGAGGUGGACAUGACGGAGGGGGUGGGGAUCACCAUGCCCAAGGCCGUGGCUUUGGAGGCCGUGUGUAGGCCGCGCGCGGCCAUGCGCGAUGUUCUUCAGAAGCUCUGA
This 690-nucleotide ribosomal RNA is filed under the name Triticum aestivum (bread wheat). RNAcentral describes it as "partial small subunit ribosomal RNA". The record is from RNAcentral. Lineage: Eukaryota; Viridiplantae; Streptophyta; Magnoliopsida; Poales; Poaceae.